Molecule: long non-coding RNA, 1325 nt
Organism: Lathyrus oleraceus (garden pea)
Lineage: Eukaryota; Viridiplantae; Streptophyta; Magnoliopsida; Fabales; Fabaceae
Exons: 5
Source: RefSeq, a predicted model, not a curated record
AAUGCAUGACUUUGUCAAUUAUGUGAUUUCAUAAUUGCAAGAAAUACAUAUCCAUAAUAUAUAUUAAGCGUGAUUUUAUAUUGCAGCAUAAUUGCAAGGAACUAUAGAUGCAGCAUAAAUGUAUUCUGAGGUAUCCGCAACAUCGCAUUGGCCGUAAUUUCCUGCCAUAUAAAAGUUUGCAGCAUAACCGCAACUGCAACCACGAUUUAAAGUAUGCUAGUAAGCCAACUAUAACAAACAAACAGUGAAUAUGGAAGAUGCCGAUGAGAUGCUAAAUAUUAGGAAGCAUUAGAGAAAAGCCAGAAAAUGAAGCAGCAACACUCAAAAGUUAUAAUGUUGAUUGUUGAUACUCUAAGCUAAACCAGACAACUGAAGGUAGCUCUGUUCUAAGAGUUGCUGCUUGGAUCUCAUUUGACUCUUCAUUGUAUAACUCCUUCCAGCAUUCACUUACAGCUUCAAUGAAGUGCUUAGAUACUACACUUGAUCAAUAACUCAUUCUCAUCACUUCAAUUUACCUACAUGACAACAUCACAGGUUGAUUGGCGACGUCCGUCCAUAUCUUCUGGUCCAAACUGUAUCAUGCGUUGUCAUACCUCUUGUGGCCAUUUUAUUGCUUCCAAUGUACACACAUUCAACGUAUUGGCUAUGGGAUGCAGAUUGCCUGCAGCAUCAAAAUUAAAUAAGUAACAACUCUUGGCAUUUCACCACAUGAACCUUCGUUCUCAAUAAGGAUUAUUGAGAUUGUGCGGCGGUCCAUGAUGACGGUCACCACUAAUAGCAGCGCCGCAUUAAGGAUCCUUUCCAACUUCCCGCUAUCUCGGAACCCUAGCACAAGACUCUCUUUCUUCGAUUUCCUUUUUGCUGUUUGAGAAUUCGAGAAACCUUAUGCUGAAUGUUUCUUGUUUAACUUUAAUUGAGGACUUAAACCCCUAAGUUGUGAUGUUGAUGUGUUGAAACUCACUGAAGAUCCCAGUGGAUUCGACUUGGUUGAUCUGUAUGUGGAGCACGAGGUUGAUAACCCUGACAUAAUAGACGAGGCAGAGGCAUUUCAGGGAGUUGAUGUUGUUGAUGAUCUUAAAGUUAACAAUGAUAAGAAUGAUAAUGUUGUAGUUGAUGAUGAUGGUGAAGUUAACAAUGAUAAGGAGAAUAAUGUUGUAGUUAACGAUGAUGUUGAAUGGUGGCCUGCCCGCUCCAAGUUGCGAGUUGGCCCAUGGGACUUGUGCGAAGGCACCUGUCUUAUGGGUCUUAGACAAGAGGGUAUAGCGUGAGGCUGGUUUCACAGAGCAACGAACACUUCCUACUCUUGACAGUGGAAGGAUCACAGG